Molecule: ribosomal RNA, 498 nt
Filed under: uncultured bacterium
Lineage: Bacteria
Description: partial 16S ribosomal RNA
Rfam family: Bacterial small subunit ribosomal RNA
Source: RNAcentral
AUUGAACGCUGGCGGCAUGCCUUACACAUGCAAGUCGAACGGUAACAGGUCUUCGGAUGCUGACGAGUGGCGAACGGGUGAGUAAUACAUCGGAACGUGCCCGAUCGUGGGGGAUAACGAGGCGAAAGCUUUGCUAAUACCGCAUACGAUCUACGGAUGAAAGCGGGGGAUCUUCGGACCUCGCGCGGACGGAGCGGCCGAUGGCAGAUUAGGUAGUUGGUGGGAUAAAAGCUUACCAAGCCGACGAUCUGUAGCUGGUCUGAGAGGAUGAUCAGCCACACUGGGACGGAGACACGGCCCAGACUCCUACGGGAGGCAGCAGUGGGGAAUUUUGGACAAUGGGCGAAAGCCUGAUCCAGCCAUGCCGCGUGCAGGAUGAAGGCCUUCGGGUUGUAAACUGCUUUUGUACUGAACGAAAAGCCUCUUUCUAAUAAAGAGGGGUCAUGACGGUACCGUAAGAAUAAGCACCGGCUAACUACGUGCCAGCCGCCGCCGUAA